This 260-nucleotide ribosomal RNA is filed under the name uncultured archaeon. Its description in RNAcentral is "partial 16S ribosomal RNA". It matches the Rfam family "Archaeal small subunit ribosomal RNA", at positions 748 to 1008 of the family's 1478-position model. The record is from RNAcentral.
UGGCCGUAAACGAUGUGGACUUGGUGUUGGAAUGGCUCCGAGCUGCUCCAGUGCCGAAGGGAAGCUGUUAAGUCCACCGCCUGGGAAGUACGGUCGCAAGACUGGAACUUAAAGGAAUUGGCGGGGGAGCACCACAACGCGUGGAGCCUGCGGUUUAAUUGGAUUCAACGCCGGACAUCUCACCAGGGCGACAGCAGAAUGAUGGCCAGGUUGAUGACCUUGCUUGACAGGCUGAGAGGAGGUGCAUGGCGUGUGACUGU